Molecule: ribosomal RNA, 331 nt
Filed under: uncultured bacterium
Lineage: Bacteria
Description: bacterial SSU rRNA
Rfam family: Bacterial small subunit ribosomal RNA
Source: RNAcentral
CGUGUAGGCGGUUGGCCAAGUCCGAUGUGAAAGCCCGAGGCUCAGCCUCGGAAGUGCAUCGGAAACUAGCCGGCUGGAGCGCGAUAGAGGAGGGUGGAAUUCCUGGUGUAGCGGUGAAAUGCGUAGAUAUCAGGAGGAACACCGGCGGCGAAGGCGGCCCUCUGGAUCGUUGCUGACGCUGAGACGCGAAAGCGUGGGGAGCAAACAGGAUUAGAUACCCUGGUAGUCCACGCUGUAAACGAUGGGUACUAGGUGUUCGGGGUAUUGACCCCCUGAGUGCCGCAGUUAACGCAUUAAGUACCCCGCCUGGGGACUACGGCCGCAAGGUUAA